CGUAGGGGGCAAGCGUUGUCCGGAUUUAUUGGGCGUAAAGAGCUCGUAGGUGGUUCGGUAAGUCGGAUGUGAAAUCUCCAGGCUCAACCUGGAGGGGUCAUUCGAUACUGCCGUGACUAGAGGUCGGUAGGGGAGUGUGGAAUUCCUGGUGGAGCGGUGAAAUGCGCAGAUAUCAGGAGGAACACCCGUAGCGAAGGCGGCACUCUGGGCCGAUACUGACACUGAGGAGCGAAAGCGUGGGGAGCGAACAGGAUUAGAUACCCUGGUAGUCCACGCCGUAAACGUUGGGCACUAGGUGUGGGACUCUAUCGACGGGUUCCGUGCCGUAGCUAACGCAUUAAGUGCCCCGCCUGGGGAGUACGGCCGCAAGGCUA
This 374-nucleotide ribosomal RNA is filed under the name uncultured organism. Its description in RNAcentral is "bacterial SSU rRNA". It matches the Rfam family "Bacterial small subunit ribosomal RNA", at positions 526 to 896 of the family's 1533-position model. The record is from RNAcentral.